CCUACGGGGGACAGCAGUGAGGAAUAUUGGUCAAUGGGCGCGAGCCUGAACCAGCCAAGUCGCGUGAGGGAAGACGGUCCUAUGGAUUGUAAACCUCUUUUGUCGGGGAGCAAAAGACGCCACGCGUGGCGUUCCGAGAGUACCCGAAGAAAAAGCAUAGGCUAACUCCGUGCCAGCAGCCGCGGUAAUACGGAGGAUGCGAGCGUUAUCCGGAUUUAUUGGGUUUAAAGGGUGCGCAGGCGGAAGAUCAAGUCAGCGGUAAAAUUGAGAGGCUCAACCUCGUCGAGCCGUUGAAACUGGUUGUCUUGAGUGAGUGAGAGGUAUGCGGAAUGCGUGGUGUAGCGGUGAAAUGCAUAGAUAUCACACAGAACUCCGAUUGCGAAGGCAGCAUACCGGCGCUCAACUGACGCUCAUGCACGAAAGUGUGGGUAUCGAACAGGAUUAGAUACCCUAGUAGUC
RNAcentral lists this ribosomal RNA (459 nucleotides) under uncultured bacterium. Its description in RNAcentral is "partial 16S ribosomal RNA". It matches the Rfam family "Bacterial small subunit ribosomal RNA", at positions 338 to 795 of the family's 1533-position model. The record is from RNAcentral.